This 751-nucleotide long non-coding RNA is filed under the name Panax ginseng (ginseng). Its description in RNAcentral is "long non-coding RNA (PGIN_LNC002754)". The record is from RNAcentral. Lineage: Eukaryota; Viridiplantae; Streptophyta; Magnoliopsida; Apiales; Araliaceae.
AAAGAAUAUAUAUUUAUCUUAUUCCCAAUUAAAAUAAGGAAAGAUUUGAUUUUAUUUCUAAAAUAAAAUAAAAAAAAUUUAUUUCUAAAAUAAAAUUUUAUUUGAUAAUUUGAUUAAAAAUGAUUUGAUCAAUAUUUGAAAAGAUUUAAUAAAAGAUGUCCAAGAUAUCUUUGGGAGAGCUCCUUGGGAGUUGUUUUUGCUAAGAUUUUCGUUUUUUUAAGACUUGCAUGAUCGAACUCUGCGGAUCGUUCAGAAAUUUAAAACAGGACUCAAAGACUCAAAAGUAUUUUGCACGAUCGUUACUCCAAAGGCGUGACUCUCGCGCAGUGGGCAAAUGUGGGCCCAAGUGCAAAUUAGGGUUCACUUGACCUAAUUGAAUUAAAUGCACAAAUUAAGCUUCACAUUAUGAUUAAAUGAAAAGACGGAAGUGCCGAAAAUAAAGAAGCAAGACCUGAGAGAAUCUUCCACGUGUUCCGAGGCAGAAGACACGUGGAGGCGACUCAUUUUGGGAAUUGAUUGAGGGAUUGGAUUGGUGGCUAGAAUGACAGGAUGAUCCGGGCAUUACUCUAAUGACUAAGGGUAAAUUUGGAAUUUCUCCGAGGUCAUGUGCCUAACACAUGACCAUUCUCCAGAAAAUCCUAUAAAUACCCCUUCCACUCUAUUGGGAAGGGGACGGCUCUUCAGACUCAAGACUUGGACUCUUGGAAGAUCAAAGGGACCCUUUUGGUGACUUAAAGACUUGGAGAUUCCA